RNAcentral lists this long non-coding RNA (2104 nucleotides) under Panax ginseng (ginseng). Its description in RNAcentral is "long non-coding RNA (PGIN_LNC008596)". Lineage: Eukaryota; Viridiplantae; Streptophyta; Magnoliopsida; Apiales; Araliaceae. The record is from RNAcentral.
AUUAUCACUAAGAUGCCUUACAGCAGAAUCAUUUGCAGAUGCAUUAUCAAGAGUCACGGUCGAUAUUUUAUUUUCAAUUCCCUACUCAGUUAUACAAUGCAAAAUAGAAUCAAAAAUCAUAAGACCAAUGUGUGGAGGUGCCAUAGUACAAAAAUUGAUAACCCUUUUAUACAAGUUCCAAUCCGAAUCCAAAAAAUGAGCAGUGAGACACAUAUAACCAAUAGUUUGAUUAGAAGUCCAUAAAUCAGAAGUUAAACUUAUCCUACUAAUACCAUCAAACAGAGCCUUAAUUUUUUUCUUCUCUAAAGCAUAAAGCUUCAUGCAAUCAGUCAUUACUGUCACCCUAGAAAUGGGAUCAAAUCUUGGAUUCAAAGUUUUCAAAAAUAGCAUGAAAAAUUCAUACUCAAUCAUACGAAAAGGAUAUUCAUGCACACAUAUCAUCUUAGCAAAAAGCUCCCUUACUUUUUCUUUAUCAUACUUGAAGAAAUUCAAGUUACCAGUUUUACCUUCAACUUCUAAAGUAGGAUACUAGGAUAAGAUAAUACCUGCUGCUUGGGUUUUCCGGAGCCAGAAAUUGAAGCUAGCCGAAUAGAACAAGAGUUCAUGUGCCUAUUCAAAUGACUAGUAGAACCUGUAUUCUUAGUUCCAUCUUUUAAUGUCACAACAGUAUACUCGUCCCAAGCUUUUGAAGUCUUUUUUUUUUCUUUUUUUCCCAUGCUCAGCUUCAACCUCAGUAGCAUUUUCUGGCAGAGAAUCACCAAUAAGUUGAGGUUGAUUUUCAGUUUGAAUAUUCGGCACUUGAGAUGGUCCAGAUGGGUAAAAAAUCAAACUUAUGAUCUCAUUGUUACCUCAAACAAAUAAAUAAAAAAAUAUCAGAAUUAGAUACAAAGGAUAUAACAUAUGCAUGCACAAUAAAAUUAUCUUAACGAGUAUUACAUUCAAGUAAAUACAUUCUGAAAGUAUGAGCCAAUAAAUUGUUUAUUUGACUUUAAAAAGUCAAAAUUAAAUAUUUAAUUUAAGACAAAAGAGCAUAAUUUAUUCGAAAUUAAAAAUACCCAUUAAUAACAGCACACAGCAAAUAGAAUGAAAGGAAGAGAGAUGUGAAAAAAUGGAAGGAAAGGCUCAGAUCUGUAAUAUAUCAGGCAAGAUGGUGACACCGCCAUGACUGCAACCACCAGUUGCAUGAGAGAGGAAUAAUAACCCAAUCAAAUCUCUCACAUACCCUCCGGGUCGCCCCGCCAAGAUACGGGUCACAUUAUCUCACUGCCCGAUUUAACCCAGAAAAAUUGAUUCAUCAUCAUCAUAGCCUCUUCCAUAUUUGCCAUCUCUAAGUCAUUGUAAAAUAAGUCAUUGCCGAACAGACCCUAAGAAUAAGCUAUAAGCUGUUUUGAAUAAGCUGAAACAAACAAACAUGGCCAUAAACACAAACAAGGGCUGUUGAAUUGUGUAGCUGGAAAAUGAAAUCAUUGGCUCUUUUUAACAGAGAGGGGCAACCACCCUUUGAAACAUCCCUUCCCUCUGGAGCCUCAUUCUAUUUUCUGAGUUUUCUAAGCCCUAAUUUUAGGCUCAAACACUGCUUUUAUAGUGCCUGAGUUUUGCUUUUCUUCCCUUUUUUGACCUCAAUAAAGAGAUAUGGGGAAAAGAUGUCCUCUACAAAGGAAAAGCUUAUUGCAGCCUCAUCCCUCCCAGGCCUCAAGAUUCCAGAGCUUCCCUUCCCUUUCUAGAGAUUCCACAGCCUCUUUCCUUUUUAGAUUUUGUAAAUGACUAUUAAUAUGGUGAUCCUGAAAUUUACAUAAAUGUUUUGAAUAGGAAUGACUAUUUACAUAAAUGACUAUUAGUAGGAAUGUCCAAAUUUUAAAAAAUAAUUAAAAUAAAUAAUAUUUUUAUAAUCCUAUAUUAUUCUUGAUUUUUAAUAUAAUAAAUUUUUUUUUAUUAAAAACUCAAAAAUAACAAAACUUAAGUUUUCUAAUAUUUUGUUUUGGUUCUAAUUUAAGUUUUUUAUUUUAUUUUUUCUGAACAGAGUAUAACAGAGUGUAAGAGAUGAUCAAAGUUAAUCUCCCAAUGGCCAUUUCUCGAAAUCCGUGAUUUCUCUCUCAUCUUCAAC